RNAcentral lists this ribosomal RNA (295 nucleotides) under uncultured Paraglomeraceae. RNAcentral's name for it is "partial small subunit ribosomal RNA". It matches the Rfam family "Eukaryotic small subunit ribosomal RNA", at positions 569 to 865 of the family's 1831-position model. Lineage: Eukaryota; Fungi; Glomeromycota; Glomeromycetes; Paraglomerales. The record is from RNAcentral.
AGCAGCCGCGGUAAUUCCAGCUCCAAUAGCGUAUAUUAAAGUUGUUGCAGUUAAAAAGCUCGUAGUUGAACCUUAGGCCCGUGCGGGUGGUCCGUCCUCUGGGCGAGCACUGCGUCGUCGCGGGUCUCACCUUCUGGCGAGCGUGGAUGCCAUUCACUUGGUGUCCGCGGGAACCAGGACCUUUACCUUGAAAAAAUUAGAGUGCUCAAAGCGGGCUCGUACGCUUGAAUACAUUAGCAUGGAAUAAUGAAAUAGGACGACGGUUCUAUUUUGUUGGUUUCCGGGACAGUCGUAA